This 1587-nucleotide ribosomal RNA is filed under the name Acinetobacter baumannii. RNAcentral's name for it is "bacterial SSU rRNA". It matches the Rfam family "Bacterial small subunit ribosomal RNA". Lineage: Bacteria; Pseudomonadati; Pseudomonadota; Gammaproteobacteria; Moraxellales; Moraxellaceae. The record is from RNAcentral.
GAUGAGCCAGAAUUGGUACCUUGUCUUUAAUAAGGUGCAAAAUGAUUUUAACUGAAGAGUUUGAUCAUGGCUCAGAUUGAACGCUGGCGGCAGGCUUAACACAUGCAAGUCGAGCGGAGAGAGGUAGCUUGCUACUGAUCUUAGCGGCGGACGGGUGAGUAAUGCUUAGGAAUCUGCCUAUUAGUGGGGGACAACAUUUCGAAAGGAAUGCUAAUACCGCAUACGUCCUACGGGAGAAAGCAGGGGAUCUUCGGACCUUGCGCUAAUAGAUGAGCCUAAGUCGGAUUAGCUAGUUGGUGGGGUAAAGGCCUACCAAGGCGACGAUCUGUAGCGGGUCUGAGAGGAUGAUCCGCCACACUGGGACUGAGACACGGCCCAGACUCCUACGGGAGGCAGCAGUGGGGAAUAUUGGACAAUGGGCGCAAGCCUGAUCCAGCCAUGCCGCGUGUGUGAAGAAGGCCUUAUGGUUGUAAAGCACUUUAAGCGAGGAGGAGGCUACUUUAGUUAAUACCUAGAGAUAGUGGACGUUACUCGCAGAAUAAGCACCGGCUAACUCUGUGCCAGCAGCCGCGGUAAUACAGAGGGUGCAAGCGUUAAUCGGAUUUACUGGGCGUAAAGCGCGCGUAGGCGGCUAAUUAAGUCAAAUGUGAAAUCCCCGAGCUUAACUUGGGAAUUGCAUUCGAUACUGGUUAGCUAGAGUGUGGGAGAGGAUGGUAGAAUUCCAGGUGUAGCGGUGAAAUGCGUAGAGAUCUGGAGGAAUACCGAUGGCGAAGGCAGCCAUCUGGCCUAACACUGACGCUGAGGUGCGAAAGCAUGGGGAGCAAACAGGAUUAGAUACCCUGGUAGUCCAUGCCGUAAACGAUGUCUACUAGCCGUUGGGGCCUUUGAGGCUUUAGUGGCGCAGCUAACGCGAUAAGUAGACCGCCUGGGGAGUACGGUCGCAAGACUAAAACUCAAAUGAAUUGACGGGGGCCCGCACAAGCGGUGGAGCAUGUGGUUUAAUUCGAUGCAACGCGAAGAACCUUACCUGGCCUUGACAUAGUAAGAACUUUCCAGAGAUGGAUUGGUGCCUUCGGGAACUUACAUACAGGUGCUGCAUGGCUGUCGUCAGCUCGUGUCGUGAGAUGUUGGGUUAAGUCCCGCAACGAGCGCAACCCUUUUCCUUAUUUGCCAGCGAGUAAUGUCGGGAACUUUAAGGAUACUGCCAGUGACAAACUGGAGGAAGGCGGGGACGACGUCAAGUCAUCAUGGCCCUUACGGCCAGGGCUACACACGUGCUACAAUGGUCGGUACAAAGGGUUGCUACCUAGCGAUAGGAUGCUAAUCUCAAAAAGCCGAUCGUAGUCCGGAUUGGAGUCUGCAACUCGACUCCAUGAAGUCGGAAUCGCUAGUAAUCGCGGAUCAGAAUGCCGCGGUGAAUACGUUCCCGGGCCUUGUACACACCGCCCGUCACACCAUGGGAGUUUGUUGCACCAGAAGUAGCUAGCCUAACUGCAAAGAGGGCGGUUACCACGGUGUGGCCGAUGACUGGGGUGAAGUCGUAACAAGGUAGCCGUAGGGGAACCUGCGGCUGGAUCACCUCCUUAA